CUGGGGCCGGGAAAACCGAGGAAUACACAUGCGCAGUUGGACCCCUAAGGCCCUUAGUGUCCCUUCCUACCCAACUCCCCGCCCCGACCCUCUGGGCGGGGCUGGGCCGAUAGUCCAGCUGCUGCUCGCUGGAGAUUCAGUGACUUCCUUAUUGUGAGUGCUGGCCCGCCAGUGUCCCGACUCGUAGCCCCGCUGUUUUUAUCCGGGCCGCUAGCCUGAGUCUAGGUCGCAGCCGCAGCCCCAACCCGUCGGUCACCUUUUCAGCGCAGGUUCUUUCCCCGCACGCCCUGCGCUCCCUAACAUGCCCAACCCCAGCAGCACCUCCUCUCCAUACCCCCUCCCUGAGGAAAUUAGGAACCUGUUGGCAGAUGUUGAAACAUUUGUAGCAGACAUACUGAAAGGAGAAAAUUUAUCUAAGAAAGCAAAGGAAAAGAGAGAAUCCCUUAUUAAGAAGAUAAAAGAUGUAAAGUCUAUCUAUCUUCAGGAAUUUCAAGACAAAGAUUUGCGAGACAGCUGCUUAGCAGACUGAAAACCAGAUCAGG
This 542-nucleotide long non-coding RNA is filed under the name Rhinopithecus roxellana (golden snub-nosed monkey). RNAcentral describes it as "lncRNA (ENSRROG00000045927.1)". The record is from RNAcentral. Lineage: Eukaryota; Metazoa; Chordata; Mammalia; Primates; Cercopithecidae.